This 253-nucleotide ribosomal RNA is filed under the name uncultured bacterium. Its description in RNAcentral is "partial 16S ribosomal RNA". It matches the Rfam family "Bacterial small subunit ribosomal RNA", at positions 524 to 776 of the family's 1533-position model. The record is from RNAcentral.
UACGAAAGGGGCUAGCGUUGUUCGGAAUUACUGGGCGUAAAGCGCACGUAGGCGGCCUUGUAAGUUGGGGGUGAAAUCCCCGGGCUCAACCCGGGAACUGCCUUCAAGACUGCAAAGCUCGAGGACGCGAGAGGUUAGCGGAAUUCCGAGUGUAGAGGUGAAAUUCGUAGAUAUUCGGAAGAACACCAGUGGCGAAGGCGGCUAACUGGCGCGUUUCUGACGCUGAGGUGCGAAAGCGUGGGGAGCAAACAGG